UCUCUAUCUGUCAAUUCAGCACUUCAUCUCUCUCUCUCUCUGAAGAAACAUGUUUCGUGAAGGGCCAGGGCCUGGAGGUCCCUGGGCACCUCCACCGGGAGAAUGCUGUUGCUGCAGCGGCUGUUUGGCAGAUCUGUUGAAAAUUCUGUGCUGCUGUUGGUUGUUGGAAGCUGUUUGUGGUUGCUGUUGCAGUCCAUUUGGUUAUGGGCCUCCUGGACCUCCCGGUCCACCUCCACCCUUUUGAUUCUUACUUCUCAAAUCCUUUAUUAGAGUACAUUUAACUAGUCUUCUUGUUUUGCUCCAAAAAUAAUAAUUUUGUAGUAUGGUUCUCUGAGUUUCUGAACUUAUUGUUUGUACACUUCUUUGUAGUUGCUGGUAUUAUGACUAAAAUCUAAAUUUCAUACUAAA
Nelumbo nucifera (sacred lotus) is the source of this 408-nucleotide long non-coding RNA. RefSeq lists it as uncharacterized. The record is from RefSeq and is a predicted model, not a curated record. NCBI's taxonomy places the organism in Eukaryota, Viridiplantae, Streptophyta, Magnoliopsida, Proteales, Nelumbonaceae.